GCGCUUGCUUUGGCAGCACAUAUACUAAAAUUGGAAUAGAGAUUAGCAUGGCCCCUGCCCCAGGAGGACACGUGAAGUGUUCCAUUAAAAAAAAAUUCUU
Molecule: small nuclear RNA, 100 nt
Filed under: Zalophus californianus (California sea lion)
Lineage: Eukaryota; Metazoa; Chordata; Mammalia; Carnivora; Otariidae
Source: RNAcentral